UUCCUACGGGACGCAGCAGUGGGGAAUAUUGCACAAUGGGGGAAACCCUGAUGCAGCGACGCCGCGUGAGUGAAGAAGUAUCUCGGUACGUAAAGCUCUAUCAGCAGGGAAGAAAAAAAGUCUUUGGCUUUGGACGGUACCUGACUAAGAAGCCCCGGCUAACUACGUGCCAGCAGCCGCGGCAAUACGUAGGGGGCAAGCGUUAUCCGGAUUUACUGGGUGUAAAGGGAGCGUAGACGGCAGCGCCAGUCUGGAGUGAAAUGCCGGGGCUCAACCCCGGCACUGCUUUUGAAGCUGUGCAGCUG
RNAcentral lists this ribosomal RNA (305 nucleotides) under uncultured bacterium. RNAcentral describes it as "bacterial SSU rRNA". It matches the Rfam family "Bacterial small subunit ribosomal RNA", at positions 336 to 643 of the family's 1533-position model. The record is from RNAcentral.